CUUUGUCUUCCCCUCUGUUAUCAUAAAUCGAUACCCUCGUUCUUCUCACUUCUGCCAUAACCUAAUCCACAAGAAGAAGAAGAAGAAGAAUCAGCAGCAGCAACGAAGAGUUCACUGUCGAAGAUCCUUUUUCAGGAGAGUAAGAUCGUUGCAUGAGUGACACAUGCAAUUGUGUGAAGGGAAUCUGAGAAUUGAUAGGGAACGAUGUGCGGUGAUGGUGGCUGACAGUCUUAUUAAAAUUGAGAACUGACGUUGAAGAAGAGUAGGGCAUAACAGGGGAAGUAUGGCUCAGCAGCAAUCGUCGCGGCUUAAUCGCCUACUUACUUUAUUGGACAGUAUCCUUUGUUUUUUGUUACCAUGCUUCACAAUAUAUACUGGCUUUGACCUCUUAACAGGGAAAAAGAGCUAGUUAGGCUUUUCGUUUGCUGGCAUUUAUUUUUAGCCUGUAUGCAUAUUUUGUGCCUCCAAUGCUGUAAAAACUUGCUAAGAAAAAUUGAACUAGCCCAGUGCAACCUAUUCUUUCUGCUUGUAGUUUUGUGUUCUUGCUUUUAGUCAUGUUGGUGAGUUGAUGCUAACUUUAACUAAAAAUAAGCUGGUUCAACUCAAGCAACAAGAUUGACAGCAGCUAGGCAGAUUGGUGAAAUAGCCAAAUCACAUCCUCAGGACCUAAACUCUUUGUUGAGUAAGGUAUGUCUUUCUGUGCAGUUCUUCUCUAGUUAUAUCAAAGUUCGCAUUUUUUUUUCUCUGUGUUGCGGCUAUACACUGGUUAUGUGUGUUGGAGUGGGAAGUGGUAACAUUUAUCAAUUUGAAGAUAGAAGUUUCGAAAAAGAAAAUCCUUAUUUUUCCUGAGUUAUGUGCAUUAAAUCUAUGAAAGUUUUACCUUUGAAAUUUUUUCUGCAAGUGUGAGAACUAAUUUCAGCAAAUUUGUUUUUUUAAGGAAGUAAUUCUACAGAACAUUUCAUAGUGAUAGGAGUGGUUAAUUAAAUGAGUACUUUGCUGGUCAAAUUGCAGCCUGCUUUUCCAAAUAUUACGACUUUGAUGGACAGAUGAGCAUAAAACCCACUUAAAAGGCUUAAAAGUGCUUCUGUAUUAGUUGAUGUUGUAUAUCCACUAGGCGAUGUAAGAGAGAAGAUUUGUGUGGUUCUGAAUAUGAUGUUAGUCAUCAUCCAUUAUUGCAGUCUGCAGAUGGAUUUUUUUAGCCUUUUGGGUCACUUGUUUGUUGUAGCAGAUCUUGGAUAUUGAACUGUUUAUACAUGAAACUUGACACAAUAGAAAGCUGAACCUACUGAAGAAAGCAGUAAAAGUUGUUGUAGAAUAAGAAAGGAGAUCUUUAGAUCCAAAAUGUGGAAUCCAGCGCUACGAAUUGUGGGACGAUAACCAUCUGAUUGCUUAAUUUAUACAAUUUUCUGAAGUGAAAACUUUAAAAAAGCACUUGGUCGUUAGGAAUGUAGGAUAUCCAGAGGAUAGGUGACAGUUCAUAUCACUAAAGCAUAGAUGAAAUAAGUUGAGCUCUGUACUGCAUCAAGUGAGUAGUAUUUAAGAGAGGAGACGGUGUUAGAUUUUCACCUAGAGUGCCCUAGGUAUAACCAACUAAGGUGAAGUUGCACGAGUUCUAAAGAAGCCACCUUGAUAGAAUAGAUGAUUCUAGUAUUGUAACUAUAUCAAAUCUUGGACAUAAAGAGCUCUCCUACACCUGUUGGGGAAAUUAUUUCAAAACACAAAAUAUUUUUGCUUCCUACCCAAACAAUUCUAACCUUAAAAUAUAUUAGAAAACAUUAAGAAAGUACCUAGUUAAUAAUUUCUGCAUAAUUAAUGUUGACAAUUUUUUUUUGUAAAUUUGUUUACAACGUUGGAAACUUAAAAUUAUAGCAAAUUAAACUUGACCCGAGAGCAAUACUCAAUGAAGAUAAAAAACAAGACAAACCCUAAAACCAUUAAUAGAUGCUUUAAUGGUCGGUCAUGUAAUAGAAAUGAUAUUUCUCUUCUUUUUUCCUCUUGCCUCCUUUAUCAAAUUCUAUUCUGCUUGAGCUUACUGCUCAGUUCUUUCAAAAGGAUGGCAACACAGUAGGAACUAUGGAUAGCUGGAUAAAAUUUGGAAAUAUCUAAGAAAUUAUUUUCCAAGAAAGCAGUGGAGGGUUUGCGAGAUGGUUAUUGCUUAAAAGUGGGUUGUUGGGUUGCUCAUUCUUCAGUAGAACAACUGUUAAAAAAAACAAUUGCAAUAAUAGAAUAGGAGGAAGAAGACUGAGAGAGAAGAGUGUAGGGAAGCCGGAGAAGUGUAGACAAAAUGAAAAAAUAGAAUAUUAAUAGGAGAGGGAGGGAAUUGAAGAUUGCAAGAGAGAGGAGGAAUAACCGUAUUGGCAAAUGAUCCACGAAACAAUCAACUUACAACUUUUUAAUUCCUUUAUUAAACCACCUUUUUAAGUCCUUUAUAAAACCAAAGAAAAAAGACUUGGAGACAAAACAUGGUAUCUUGGGGCCAAAAAUGGCUUUUACUCGUGUAACUAGAGCCAAUCAUCAAUUAGGGGUUUUGAUACAAAUUGAUUUUAGUGUAUCUUCUUUGUUGUCAAGUGUGUUGUGCCCUAAUUUUGGACU
Molecule: long non-coding RNA, 2592 nt
Filed under: Solanum lycopersicum (tomato)
Lineage: Eukaryota; Viridiplantae; Streptophyta; Magnoliopsida; Solanales; Solanaceae
Description: partial TCONS_00137150
Source: RNAcentral